GCACAUUGUCGUAUAAUUGUUCUUCUUCUUCUUCCGCUUCUUCUUCUGCUUCUCCUUCUUUGAGAAUAGGUCCUGGGAUAUCAGGAAUUUCAUCAAACUCUUCUAUGCUCUCGUCGUAUUCGUUUCGGAACAUUAUUUGGGGAGGUGAGAUAUCGGUAAAAAUUGGUCGUGGAAUUUGCGUUUCAUCGAAUUUGGAAUCGUCAUAAUGAUGUUUAUCAAAUUGACUUUCAACGAACCUUCUGGCCUCAUCAAAUUGAGCUGCUUCCAUUUUUCCAGCCUUUCUUGGUGUUGCUGGAGGUGUUCGGCUGCCUCCGUCUACACCAGCAGGUGUUGAGUGACUAUGAGGCAUUUUUGAACCGAUUCCUCCACUGGAAUUCAUACCCAAAUUCUCGAUGUCAUUCAUGCCUUCUACCCUAUCAUUUAUCCCUUUGCAAAGAUCUUAAGCCCCCAGGUAUAACUUUAUACACUGCAAUGAUCGAGGCGCACAAUAAUCGAUGUUUCUGUUAAGUAGUAUUCAUCUGAAACAGUUUAUUAAUUUUUC
Molecule: unclassified non-coding RNA, 541 nt
Filed under: Athalia rosae (coleseed sawfly)
Lineage: Eukaryota; Metazoa; Arthropoda; Insecta; Hymenoptera; Athaliidae
Description: misc RNA ENSAEAG00005000847.1
Source: RNAcentral